AAGGCAGAACAUCACUUUGACCUCAGCUGGAAAUGUGCAUGUCAGGAGACUAACAUCUUUCACAUGUCCCCAAAUGACCAUGAAAACACAAGUAUUGAUUUGGGGAUUAACAAUUAAAUUUUACCAAGUAGGCAAAUUUGGAAAUAUAGAAUCUGUGAAUAAUGAAGACUGAAUAUUGAAAGUCUUUAAAAUGUUUGUUACUAACUUUAUAGUAAUUUUGGUGUUUAUUUCUCAUUUAACUAAGACAGUAUUCAAGGUAAGAUUUUGUAUCUUUUCAAAUGUUUGGCAAUUUAAGAAAUAGAAUUUGGGGGAAUAGUCUAAAAUUUUGUGGCUUAGGAUGUAGUUUAAUAUCUAACAGAUAAUUUUGGAAAUAGAAAAUGUGAAUUUUGAUUGCAAUUAUUUUGAAAUCUUUACCAGAUUGUCCCAGAAGAGGUUCAAACAAUUGGUAGAGAGAUUGCUGCAAUUUAUUUCUUUACGCCUGUUUCCUGCAAAGCCUGAAGAAUUUCCACCUAUAACAAAGUGUUCCUGGUGGAUUCCAUCAGCCGCUAAAGUGUUGGCUUUACUUAAUACUGCAAACAAUUUAGUUCACCCUCCCCUUAUUCCUUAUACUGAUUUCUAUAAUUCUACAUUGGAUCACAUUGAUCUCAUGGAAGAAUAUCAUACUUGGCAAAACUUUGGAAACUCUCACAGGUAUGAACAAAAGUUCCUUUGAUUAUCCACCUAAAUGAAAUACACUAUUCAAAAGAAUGACUAGAUUUUAAGUUUAUAUGAAGUUUACACAUACGUUUACAUAUAAAUGUAUAAAUAUAGUUCAGAUGGCCUUGAAAUACCAUAUUUAUUAAAGUAUUUUCUUUUUCUGCUACAUUUUGAAUCUAUGUACAUGUUAAUUUGGUUUUGGUUUGGUUAAUAGCAUCUUUUCAAGAAGGGAGAGGUUCUAUCUUAAUAUGCAGUCUCUUAUCUCUUACUAUUCUAUGCACAGGGGUCAGCAAAACUUUUUCUGUAAAGAACUAGAUGGUGAAUAUUUUCAACACUAUAGGUUACACAGAUUCUAUUUUGCUAUUUUAGCACAAAAGUAGCCAUAGACAGGAUGUAAAUGAAUAGAUAUGUCUGUGUCCCAAAUGACUUUAUUUACAAAAACAGGUUGUAGGCCAUAUUUGUCUUAGGCCCAUGGUUUGCAGAUGCAUGAUCUAAUAUAUUGAUCACACACAGACACACACAUACAUUCAUUUCUCAUUUCUUCUGUAAGAAAAAGUGGUUGUCCAUUAGGUGCAAUAUAAAAAGAGUAGAUGUUACAGAGAAAGGGCCUUACCACAGCUUAUUUAUUAUAAUAAUUAAUAGAUUUGUAAAACAGUCACCAAAUUAUUUAAUACACUGCACUUUAUAUCCACACUUCUAGUUUGGAUUAAACUAGCAAGACUAUUCCAAACAUAAUUUAUCCUCAGGUCAUGAGAUGUUCAGGAGAUUGCAUUUAAUUGUAGAGGAAUCUGAGUAAAGAGAUACGGUGUGGAUAUAAGUAACCUCAAAACCCCAGAUUAGUUUGUAAAUUGGUUAAACUUUCCAGGGACCCUCUUUAUCAGAAUUGGCCUGAAACAUAGAAUGGGCUUCUGGACACAUCUCAUUUCACAUCUGAACACUCAGAACUGAAUAAGAAUAAGAAUUUAAGUUCUGGGCACCCUAGUCCCAGAUGGAUAUUUUCUUGGCAACGUUUACUUUACAAAGAUACUUUUUCCUUCCAUUUUAAUAUAAUUGUAAUGUGUUGUAGAUACAACCACAAAACAACGCCAAGAAUUAUUAUGCAUAUUUCACUGACAACAACAUCUUUUAAUAUAGAGCUUCCUCUAACAACUGUGCCACAACACUGGUGUACCAAGAAUGAGUUACAUUAGGGUUUUAAUCCUAGGAUCCCGUCAACCCUUGGGUAGCCAGCCUGAACCUAGAGGGGAACAGGAGCCCUAUGGCAAGUGACCUCUGGCCAUGAGCAGCUUCAUCUGUUCAUUUCAGUGUAUCAUUCACAAAGUAUCAUUUCUCUUGUGCAUAACAAGGGAAAGGUUGAGAACCCCUGUCCUAAAGUACAUAGUAAAACUAAUAUAUAUCUUACUGAGUUCAUUGCAUUUUCUUUUUAUUUCCAAUUUUUUUGUUAGCAUUAAUGAUUCAAAAUAAUUAUAUACCAGUACUGAAGAACUCUCAACUUUUAUUAACAAUUUUGUCCCAUGGUAAAAGCCAUCUCACUUUCAGUUUACACUAAGGCUAUAUCCAUUUUCCUAAUAAUGCCUUUUUUCUCAGUGGUCACAGUUGUACCACCUGACUAUGCUCAGAGGGAUUCCAGCUGUAACUGAUAGAUUCACUGUAGUCACUUUGAAUGGCAGUCUUACUCCAGAAGUGUCAUUGCUGCCAUAUUCAUUCUUUCUAAAUGCAUUUAUCUCUGUGUAGUUUGUGGCUUUUGUGCAUAGCAUAGAAUGUUCUAGCCCAGGAGGGGUUAUUUUCAUAACCUUUGAUUAUAAUGUGUAAUUACAAAUACAUACCAUUUCCUAUUACCACACCAUUAAAUAUAAUACUAAAUGUAACAUACAUUUCUGAUUUCUUUUUAUUGGUCUUAAAUAUAUUACUUUACUUUUUACAUACUGUAGUUAUUGUUAGAUUUUUUCAUUUCUGGAACUCACACAUCAGAAGUCACCAUAUAAUGAUGGAUUCUUAUAUUAAUUUUGAGCACCUGGGUUUUCUGUACUACUUAACCAACACUUCUCCCUCCUGGUUCUGGUGUUGGCCAUGUUGUUCACAGGUGAUGAUAUACAAUGAAAUUAUUUGUAUAGACAAUGUAAGUGGUUAGCACACAUUCAGAACCUUUGAUGUAGCUUCUGCAGAGAAUAAAGGCAUUGCACAUCUAGUAAUGAUACAUUCUUCACAUGGCUGUGAGAAUUAAAAGAAAUUAUAUACAUACAAUCAUUUUGUAUAUGGUAAAACACAAUCCAAAAGUAAUGUUUUAUAUUGCUACAAGGGGUACCUUAGAUUCCCUUAGUAUAAUUUUGUUAAAAAUACACCAUUUUGCUUUUUCUUUUUUUCACUUGUUGAGCAGGUUUUCCUUCUGUCAGUACCCAUUCGUUAUUUCUGUAGCUGCAAAAAAAAUCAUUAUUCAAAGAGACUCAGAGCAACAGAUGAUAAACAUCGCAAGGGUAAGUCAGCUAUAAAAACAUAUUUAUGCUGACUAUAAUCAGUAUAGUAAAUAAUUUAAUAAAUAAUUUAAAUGUCUUGUGAAUUGUUCUAGCAUAAUCAGGAAUGUUAAAAGCAAAAUUCGUGUUAUACUCACCCAAAAAGUGCUUAAAAACUAUUUACAAUUUGGGAGACAAGAUAACUCUCAUCUCUUCUGAUCAACUUCUCAUUAUAUUAUAAAUAUACUAGGAAGAGUAAAUGCUUCUCACAGAUUCAAAUUACUGAGCGCUUGUUGGACCUCGUUUUGCAGAUACCAUACCACCAACCUUAGAUAACCAGCAGAGCAUUGAGAACUGCGGUGAGGCAGAGUGUCAUUAGGCAAACCACUCAAACUACUGAAACAUUUUCUAGGUUUUAUGAAAAUCAGAAACAACCGAAAAAUUAGAAAAUGUAACAAAAAGUGUGUCUUGGAGAACUGAGAAAUAUGCCCAAAGAAGGUGAAAGAUGUUUUAUUGGUUCUUAGGAAACCAAAAUGCAUGGAGACCCAAAGAGGCUGGGGAUAGCAAGCAGACUGAGUUUAGGCAAAUUGUAGAGCAGUAUGAAGUUAUCUCUCAGUCUGUCCUUACCACUUCCUAUCCCUUGUGUUUCAGCUCAGCACAGUAAUGUACUUUAUCUAAUAAAUAUCAGAUUCAGUGAGGUUUUUCUGUUAGAGCUCUAAACUAUUUGUUUAAGUGCUUAUGUAUUUCAAACAUCUGCUUGUGUUACAUGAUUGCUCACAAUUUUAAAAGAGGGAAGCUUGGCUGUGGUCUUCUUAAUUGAAAAAGGAAUAUAGAGUAAAAAGAAAUGAUUUCCAUCUUGUUCAAGAGUAUAAAAAGAAUCCUAAAGCAUAAAUUGUAAUACUUCAAAAUGCUAUAAAAAAUAAGAAUGUUUAUUCUUCAGUAAUUCAGUUCCCAGAAGGUGAGUAUUUCUUUCUAUCACAGAGAAGGACAAAAGAUUUGAGUAACUGGUGACAUCCCAAAGUCAUCUUAUACUGAAUAUGGGAAUAUUAGAAGAAAUUUUAUUGCCUAUGCCCAUCAAGGGAAUUCCAAAGCCACACUACCCCCCUGAAGAAUGAGUUUAAACAGGUAUAUUCAGCACCAGAAUUGUUACUUGAUCUUGGGUAGAUAUUGGCUCAAUGAUUAGCUGUAUAGCUACUCAUUCUGACAUUUUCUGUUAGUUGUACUCGUACAAUGUCGUGCCUUUUUAGUAUUUUUUCACCUUGGUCUAUGAUUUUUUUAUAUUUGUAAGAAAAUCUACAGUGCUUUUGUACGUAACAGAAUGAGCUAGUUUGUGUUAAACUAGCAAGACUAAACAGUUUUUUCUGUGUCACUCACAGGAUAUCAAAUAUCUUUUUGUGGAAUUUUUCUUCUACUUUAAAGAAGGAGAAUGGCAGGUGUAGACUCUGUGACAGGCUAAGUUUUCUACAGAGCAUGCAAACGAAUGAGUAGACACUUGACAUUGAGAGCUAAGUGGCAUUAUCAGUUUUUUAUGGGUGUUUCCCAACAUUUUAUCUCAUAAGUUGCCAUAUCACUUGGAAUUAAUGACUGAUGACUAUUUUGACACAAGGACAAUCUUACAAAUAGUCAGUGUAAGCAAGAGCUUAUAUGGUACAAUCUAAAUAUACAAAAUUGGUUUCCUAACCUAAAAUAAGUUCCUCAGUCACACUGUCGAGAAUUGUAUCAUUGUUGGGUUAUUUUUUCAUUUGGAGCAUUUUCCAGUAAAUAUGAAUUCCUGAUGGGAGGAGUAGCUACUAAUCUUGUUUGCCAUUAGCAUCCUAGCAUAAAUUUGUUUAUUAGUUAUUUCCAAUGUGACAGCUGCCCAAGAGCUAGACUGGGAACAGAAGAUAGGAAAAGGUAGGAAAAAACGGUCUGUAACACAGGACACUAUGCUAGGAAUGCAGACUUCCUUGAUAAGUGAGGACACAGAAAUAAAAGGCUGUUAAUAGCAUUUAGCAUUGUAUAUGGGAGAAAUGGAGAAGGCUCCAAAUUAGUGUUUUAUUAUAGUAAUCUUCAAAAUCAUAAGUAGCCUUAAAUUGUAGAUUUGUGAUACUAAAAUUUUAUCUAUUAAAGCAAAUUGCUGCAUGUAUUUAAAAUGUCUGAAAUGUUUAUCUUUAAUCUGCACAAUAGUUUUCAUUGUUACCAAAAAAAGAUAUAGUCUAAUAAAGACUAUUUAGAUAAAUAUAUAA
Molecule: small RNA, 5371 nt
Filed under: Pan troglodytes (chimpanzee)
Lineage: Eukaryota; Metazoa; Chordata; Mammalia; Primates; Hominidae
Description: processed transcript
Source: RNAcentral